AUGGCGGAGACGGUGCUGAGCAUGGCGAGGUCCAUGCUGGGUGGAGCCAUUAGCAAGGCCGCCUCUGCCGCCGCCAACGAGAUGAGCCUCCUCAUGGGUGUGCGCAAGGAUAUUUGGUUCAUCAAAGACGAGCUAGCAACGAUGCAGGCUUUCCUGGUGGCUGCUGAAGGUAUGAAGAAGAAAGACAUGCUACUUAAGGUGUGGGCAGAGCAAGUAAGGGAGCUGUCAUACAACAUUGAAGAUUGCCUUGGUGAAUUCAUGGUGCAUGUGGCAAGUCAAAGCUUGUCACGGAAACUUAUGAAGCUCAAACACCAACAUCAAAUUGCGGUGCAAAUCCGCGAUCUCAAAUCAUGA
RNAcentral lists this ribosomal RNA (354 nucleotides) under Triticum aestivum (bread wheat). RNAcentral describes it as "partial small subunit ribosomal RNA". The record is from RNAcentral. Lineage: Eukaryota; Viridiplantae; Streptophyta; Magnoliopsida; Poales; Poaceae.